Molecule: ribosomal RNA, 795 nt
Filed under: Triticum aestivum (bread wheat)
Lineage: Eukaryota; Viridiplantae; Streptophyta; Magnoliopsida; Poales; Poaceae
Description: partial small subunit ribosomal RNA
Source: RNAcentral
AUGCCAGACGAAAGACCAACAAGUGCAGACAGGGUCACCGCGCUGGAAAAAGCUCUAACCGGGUUUGCAGAUAGGGAUUCAGAUUCUGUUGUGACUCCGUCCGUUGGGCUAUCAUUUGACUCGAUAAAUGAGGCAUAUGAAUUCUACAACCUGUAUUCUUGGGAGUGUGGAUUUGGUGUUCGCUAUGCAAAGAGCAUGACGAAUGUAAAAGGGACAAAAUGCAUGCAGGAGUUCGUCUGCUGCUGCUCGGGCAAACCAAAAGAAGCAAAUUCGAAGUCUACAUGGUGUCAAUGCCAAGCCAUGAUAAGGCUUCUCCAAACGGACGACGAAGGCUGGCAUAUUGACAAAUACACCCGUGAGCUUGUUUCCCAACUGAGACAGAACAAUGUUAAUCUGAGCAAGGUUUAUAGUAUAAUCGCAACAUUUUUUGGUAGAGUUGAGAAUGUGCCGUUCACCAAGAGAUGUUUAAGGACUCUGUGUGGGAAGCUUAGCAGGGAGCAAGCUGAUGACGAUGUGCGAAAGACAAUGGCUAUUUUUUCAGAAAUGAAAGCACAAGACAGCGAGUUCACAUACAACGUUCAGGUAGAUGAUGAGAGUAGGAUAUGGACCCUUAUGUGGACGAACGGGCGUAGCAAAACACAGUACCAUCACUUCAGUGACGUUAUCACCUUCGACACGACAUACAAAACAAACCUGUAUGAUAUGCCAUUUGGUCUGUUUGUGGGGGUGAAUAAUCAUUUUCAGAGUGUGCUUUAUGCGAGACGAGACCGAGGAUACAUUCAAAUGGAUUUUUGA